RNAcentral lists this ribosomal RNA (253 nucleotides) under uncultured bacterium. Its description in RNAcentral is "partial 16S ribosomal RNA". It matches the Rfam family "Bacterial small subunit ribosomal RNA", at positions 524 to 776 of the family's 1533-position model. The record is from RNAcentral.
UACAUGGGGUGCAAACGUUGCUCGGAAUUACUGGGCGUAAAGGGCGCGUAGGCGGGAUGGCAAGUCGGUCGUGAAAUCCCUCGGCUCAACCGAGGAACGUCGAUCGAUACUGCUGUUCUUGAGGAUUGCAGAGGAGACUGGAAUUCCCGGUGUAGCGGUGAAAUGUGUAGAUAUGCGGAGGAACACCGAUGGCGAAGGCAAUCCCCUGGGCCUGCACUGACGCUCAUGCACGAAAGCGUGGGGAGCAAACAGG